RNAcentral lists this long non-coding RNA (455 nucleotides) under Marmota monax (woodchuck). Lineage: Eukaryota; Metazoa; Chordata; Mammalia; Rodentia; Sciuridae. The record is from RNAcentral.
CUCCGCCUCCUCAGCGAUUGCCAUCUGACAAGAUCUCCAAAUCAAAGUGAUAAAUCGCUCCAAACUUUUUUUGGCGGCGCUGAGAUGUUGGAGGGGCGUCUAGCGCGCAUGUGCGAAGGUGCCCAAACUGACAAUGCUAGAGAGAUAGCGAGUGUGGAUUGAGAGAAAGGGAGAGAGGGAGGGAGAGAGAGUGAAAGAGGGAAAGACAGAGUGAGUGUGUGGAAGUGUGUGUGUGAGUGUGUGUGUGUGUGUGUGAGAGAGAGAGAGAGAGAGAGAGAGAGAGAGAGAGAAGAGGAGAGGAGAGAGGGAGGGAGCGAGAGGGAGAGCAAAAGAAGGAAAAGAUCCAAGAAAAAAAAAAACCCAACCACACACCAGCGGCUGCAGGACUGGGCACAGCAUGAGAUCCAAAGGCAGGGCAAGGAAACUGGCCACAAGUAGGUGCAAUAUCCCUUUUC